AGGGCAGAUCCAAUUUUCUGCCACCGAAUACAUUAGCAUGGGAUAAUGGAAUAGGACCCUGUCCUCCUAUUUUCAGUUGGUUUUGGCAGCGCGAGGACUAGGGUAAUGAUUAAUAGGGAUAGUUGGGGGCAUUAAUAUUUAAUUGUCAGAGGUGAAAUUCUUGGAUUUAUGAAAGAUUAACUUCUGCGAAAGCAUCUGCCAAGGAUGUUUUCAUUAAUCAAGAACGAAAGUUAGGGGAUCGAAGACGAUCAGAUACCGUCGUAGUCUUAACCAUAAACGAUGCCGACCAGCGAUUAGGAGACGUUGAAUACAAAACACCACCAUCGGUUGCGGUCAUCCUUGGCGUCUCGGUUUCGGCCGGGGCGCGGGGAUGGCUUAGCCCGGUGGCACCGGUGAAUGACUCCCCUAGCAGCUUGUGAGA
This 421-nucleotide ribosomal RNA is filed under the name Acanthamoeba genotype T4. RNAcentral's name for it is "SSU rRNA". It matches the Rfam family "Eukaryotic small subunit ribosomal RNA", at positions 777 to 1095 of the family's 1831-position model. The record is from RNAcentral. Lineage: Eukaryota; Discosea; Longamoebia; Acanthamoebidae.